AACGUCCGUCGUGAAGAGGGAAACAACCCAGACCGCCAGCUAAGGUCCCAAAGUCAUGGUUAAGUGGGAAACGAUGUGGGAAGGCACAGACAGCCAGGAUGUUGGCUUAGAAGCAGCCAUCAUUUAAAGAAAGCGUAAUAGCUCACUGGUCGAGUCGGCCUGCGCGGAAGAUGUAACGGGGCUAAACCAUGCACCGAAGCUGCGGCAGCGACACUAUGUGUUGUUGGGUAGGGGAGCGUUCUGUAAGCCUGCGAAGGUGACCUGUGAGGGUUGCUGGAGGUAUCAGAAGUGCGAAUGCUGACAUAAGUAACGAUAAAGCGGGUGAAAAGCCCGCUCGCCGGAAGACCAAGGGUUCCUGUCCAACGUUAAUCGGGGCAGGGUGAGUCGACCCCUAAGGCGAGGCCGAAAGGCGUAGUCGAUGGGAAACAGGUUAAUAUUCCUGUACUUGGUGUUACUGCGAAGGGGGGACGGAGAAGGCUAUGUUAGCCGGGCGACGGUUGUCCCGGUUUAAGCAUGUAGGCUGGUUGUCCAGGCAAAUCCGGAUAAUCAAGGCUGAGGUGUGAUGACGAGGCACUACGGUGCUGAAGUAACAAAUGCCCUGCUUCCAGGAAAAGCCUCUAAGCAUCAGGUAACAUCAAAUCGUACCCCAAACCGACACAGGUGGUCAGGUAGAGAAUACCAAGGCGCUUGAGAGAACUCGGGUGAAGGAACUAGGCAAAAUGGUGCCGUAACUUCGGGAGAAGGCACGCUGGUGUGUAGGUGAAGUCCCUGCGGAUGGAGCUGAGACCAGUCGAAGAUACCAGCUGGCUGCAACUGUUUAUUAAAAACACAGCACUGUGCAAACACGAAAGUGGACGUAUACGGUGUGACGCCUGCCCGGUGCCGGAAGGUUAAUUGAUGGGGUUAUCCGUAAGGAGAAGCUCUUGAUCGAAGCCCCGGUAAACGGCGGCCGUAACUAUAACGGUCCUAAGGUAGCGAAAUUCCUUGUCGGGUAAGUUCCGACCUGCACGAAUGGCGUAAUGAUGGCCAGGCUGUCUCCACCCGAGACUCAGUGAAAUUGAACUCGCUGUGAAGAUGCAGUGUACCCGCGGCAAGACGGAAAGACCCCGUGAACCUUUACUAUAGCUUGACACUGAACAUUGAGCCUUGAUGUGUAGGAUAGGUGGGAGGCUUUGAAGCGUGGACGCCAGUCUGCGUGGAGCCAACCUUGAAAUACCACCCUUUAAUGUUUGAUGUUCUAACGUUGGCCCCUUACCGGGGUUGCGGACAGUGUCUGGUGGGUAGUUUGACUGGGGCGGUCUCCUCCCAAAGCGUAACGGAGGAGCACGAAGGUUAGCUAAUCCUGGUCGGACAUCAGGAGGUUAGUGCAAUGGCAUAAGCUAGCUUGACUGCGAGCGUGACGGCGCGAGCAGGUGCGAAAGCAGGUCAUAGUGAUCCGGUGGUUCUGAAUGGAAGGGCCAUCGCUCAACGGAUAAAAGGUACUCCGGGGAUAACAGGCUGAUACCGCCCAAGAGUUCAUAUCGACGGCGGUGUUUGGCACCUCGAUGUCGGCUCAUCACAUCCUGGGGCUGAAGUAGGUCCCAAGGGUAUGGCUGUUCGCCAUUUAAAGUGGUACGCGAGCUGGGUUUAGAACGUCGUGAGACAGUUCGGUCCCUAUCUGCCGUGGGCGCUGGAGAAUUGAGGGGGGCUGCUCCUAGUACGAGAGGACCGGAGUGGACGCAUCACUGGUGUUCGGGUUGUCAUGCCAAUGGCACUGCCCGGUAGCUAAAUGCGGAAGAGAUAAGUGCUGAAAGCAUCUAAGCACGAAACUUGCCCCGAGAUGAGUUCUCCCUGAGACUUUAAGUCUCCUGAAGGAACGUUAAAGACGAUGACGUUGAUAGGCCGGGUGUGUAAGCGCAGCGAUGCGUUGAGCUAACCGGUACUAAUGAACCGUGAGGCUUAACCUU
RNAcentral lists this ribosomal RNA (1946 nucleotides) under Klebsiella pneumoniae. RNAcentral's name for it is "partial 23S ribosomal RNA". It matches the Rfam family "Bacterial large subunit ribosomal RNA", at positions 1000 to 2925 of the family's 2925-position model. The record is from RNAcentral. Lineage: Bacteria; Pseudomonadati; Pseudomonadota; Gammaproteobacteria; Enterobacterales; Enterobacteriaceae.